AGAGUUUGAUCCUGGCUCAGAUUGAACGCUGGCGGCGUGCUUAACACAUGCAAGUCGUGCGAGAAAGGGGACUUCGGUCCCUGAGUAGAGCGGCGCACGGGUGAGUAACGCGUGGAUUAUCUACCCAGACGUUCGGGAUAACGGCGGGAAACUGCCGCUAAUACCGGAUACGCUCCAAUUUCGGUUGGGGGAAAGGCGGCCUCUGCUUGCAAGCUGUCGCAUCUGGAUGAGUCCGCGUCCCAUUAGCUUGUUGGUGGGGUAAUGGCCUACCAAGGCUACGAUGGGUAGCUGGUCUGAGAGGAUGAUCAGCCACACUGGAACUGAAACACGGUCCAGACUCCUACGGGAGGCAGCAGUGGGGAAUAUUGCGCAAUGGGGGAAACCCUGACGCAGCGACGCCGUGUGAGGGAAGAAGGCUUUCGGGUCGUAAACCUCUGUCAGAAAGGAAGAACCUCCCAAGUCCGAAUAGGGCUUGGGACUGACGGUACUUUCAAAGGAAGCACCGGCUAACUCCGUGCCAGCAGCCGCGGUAAUACGGAGGAUGCAAGCGUUAAUCUGAUCCACUGGGCGUUACGCGUGCGCAGGCUGCAUGAUAAGUCAGUGGUGCAAUCGUACAGCUCGACUGUAGAACUGCGUAUGAUACUGUCGAGGCUAGAGUCAUGUUGAGGGUGACUGAAUUGGUCAUGUGAGCGUGAAAUGCAUAGAUAACAGCAGGAACAUCGGUCGCGAAGGCAGUCACCUAAUCAGUUACUGACGCUCAUACACGAAAGCGUGGGGAUCAAACAGGAUUAGAUACCCUGGUAGUCCACGCCGUAAACUAUCGAUACUCGGUGUCGUGCAAUAAACGUCAGUGACUAAGCGAAAGCAUUAAGUAAUCCACCUGGGGAGUACGUCCGCAAGGAUGAAACUCAAAGGAAUUGACGGGGGCCCGCACAAGCGGAGGAGUAUGUGGUUUAAUUCGUUGCAACGCGAAGAACCUUACCUAGGUUUGACAUCUCCCAAAUCGUCCUGAAAGGGAAGAGUGCCCUUCGGGGAAUGGGAUGACAGGUGCUGCAUGGCUGUCGUCAGCUCGUGCCGUGAGGUGUUGGGUUAAGUCCCGCAACGAGCGCAACCCUUGUUUUUAGUUGCCAGCAGGUGAAGCUGGGCACUCUAAAGAGACCGCCGCGGUCAACGUGGAGGAAGGUGGGGACGAUGUCAAGUCAUCAUGGCCCUUACGCCUAGGGCUACACACGUACUACAAUGGCGCAUACAAUGGGUAGCGAAGCCGCGAGGUGGAGCCAAUCUCAAAAAGUGCGUCCCAGUCCGGAUUGCAGUCUGCAACUCGACUGCAUGAAGUCGGAAUCGCUAGUAAUCGGGGAUCAGCAUGCCCCGGUGAAUACGUUCCCGGGCCUUGUACACACCGCCCGUCACACCACGAAAGUUGGUUUUACCCGAAAGCGUCAGGCUAACCCUCGGGAGGCAGACGUCUACGGUAGGGCCGAUGAUUGGGGUGAAGUCGUAACAAGGUAGCCGUA
This 1514-nucleotide ribosomal RNA is filed under the name uncultured bacterium. RNAcentral describes it as "partial 16S ribosomal RNA". It matches the Rfam family "Bacterial small subunit ribosomal RNA". The record is from RNAcentral.